AGUGUAGGCGGCUAUUUAAGUCGGAUGUGAAAGCCCCGAGCUCAACCUGGGAAUUGCAUUCGAAACUGAAUAGCUAGAGUUUGGUAGAGGUAAGUGGAAUUCCGGGUGUAGCGGUGAAAUGCGUAGAUAUCCGGAGGAACAUCAGUGGCGAAGGCGGCUUACUGGACCAAAACUGACGCUGAGGCUCGAAAGCGUGGGGAGCAAACAGGAUUAGAUACCCUGGUAGUCC
Molecule: ribosomal RNA, 229 nt
Filed under: uncultured bacterium
Lineage: Bacteria
Description: partial 16S ribosomal RNA
Rfam family: Bacterial small subunit ribosomal RNA
Source: RNAcentral